RNAcentral lists this unclassified non-coding RNA (212 nucleotides) under Hevea brasiliensis (rubber tree). The record is from RNAcentral. Lineage: Eukaryota; Viridiplantae; Streptophyta; Magnoliopsida; Malpighiales; Euphorbiaceae.
UUUAUUUACAUCCGCCGACCAACAGUUAUCAUUGCCCUGGGCCCGUGGCUGUCAAACCAAACUGUUCACCAUUUACAAUAAGCUUGCUUAAGCCUUGGUCGUCAACAAUCUGGCGGUCACCUCCUUAAUUGGUCCCUUGUAAAGAAGGGAUGCCUUAGUGCUUCCCGAGCAGUUAGCCUAUCUGAGGGAUCAUAUCUAAGCAAUCCUUGCAA